GACGAACGCUGGCGGCGUGCCUAAUACAUGCAAGUAGAACGCACAGUUUAUACCGUAGCUUGCUACGCCAUACACUGUGAGUUGCGAACGGGUGAGUAACGCGUAGGUAACCUGCCUGGUAGCGGGGGAUAACUAUUGGAAACGAUAGCUAAUACCGCAUAAUAUUGAUUAUUGCAUGAUAAUUGAUUGAAAGAUGCUAUUGCAUCACUACCAGAUGGACCUGCGUUGUAUUAGCUAGUAGGUGAGGUAACGGCUCACCUAGGCGACGAUACAUAGCCGACCUGAGAGGGUGAUCGGCCACACUGGGACUGAGACACGGCCCAGACUCCUACGGGAGGCAGCAGUAGGGAAUCUUCGGCAAUGGACGAAAGUCUGACCGAGCAACGCCGCGUGAGGGAAGAAGGUUUUCGGAUCGUAAAGCUCUGUUGUAAGAGAAGAACGGGUGUGAGAGUGGAAAGUUCACACUGUGACGGUAUCUUACCAGAAAGGGACGGCUAACUACGUG
RNAcentral lists this ribosomal RNA (505 nucleotides) under uncultured bacterium. RNAcentral's name for it is "partial 16S ribosomal RNA". It matches the Rfam family "Bacterial small subunit ribosomal RNA", at positions 28 to 507 of the family's 1533-position model. The record is from RNAcentral.